GAAACAGGUUAAUAUUCCUGUACUUGGUGUUACUGCGAAGGGGGGACGGAGAAGGCUAUGUUGGCCGGGCGACGGUUGUCCCGGUUUAAGCGUGUAGGCUGGUUUUCCAGGCAAAUCCGGAAAAUCAAGGCUGAGGCGUGAUGACGAGGCACUACGGUGCUGAAGCAACAAAUGCCCUGCUUCCAGGAAAAGCCUCUAAGCAUCAGGUAACAUCAAAUCGUACCCCAAACCGACACAGGUGGUCAGGUAGAGAAUACCAAGGCGCUUGAGAGAACUCGGGUGAAGGAACUAGGCAAAAUGGUGCCGUAACUUCGGGAGAAGGCACGCUGAUAUGUAGGUGAAGCGACUUGCUCGUGGAGCUGAAAUCAGUCGAAGAUACCAGCUGGCUGCAACUGUUUAUUAAAAACACAGCACUGUGCAAACACGAAAGUGGACGUAUACGGUGUGACGCCUCCCCGGUGCCGGAAGGUUAAUUGAUGGGGUUAGCCGCAAGGCGAAGCUCUUGAUCGAAGCCCCGGUAAACGGCGGCCGUAACAAUAACGGUCCUAAGGUAGCGAAAUUCCUUGUCGGGUAAGUUCCGACCUGCACGAAUGGCGUAAUGAUGGCCAGGCUGUCUCCACCCGAGACUCAGUGAAAUUGAACUCGCUGUGAAGAUGCAGUGUACCCGCGGCAAGACGGAAAGACCCCGUGAACCUUUACUAUAGCUUGACACUGAACAUUGAGCCUUGAUGUGUAGGAUAGGUGGGAGGCUUUGAAGUGUGGACGCCAGUCUGCAUGGAGCCGACCUUGAAAUACCACCCUUUAAUGUUUGAUGUUCUAACGUUGACCCGUAAUCCGGGUUGCGGACAGUGUCUGGUGGGUAGUUUGACUGGGGCGGUCUCCUCCUAAAGAGUAACGGAGGAGCACGAAGGUUGGCUAAUCCUGGUCGGACAUCAGGAGGUUAGUGCAAUGGCAUAAGCCAGCUUGACUGCGAGCGUGACGGCGCGAGCAGGUGCGAAAGCAGGUCAUAGUGAUCCGGUGGUUCUGAAUGGAAGGGCCAUCGCUCAACGGAUAAAAGGUACUCCGGGGAUAACAGGCUGAUACCGCCCAAGAGUUCAUAUCGACGGCGGUGUUUGGCACCUCGAUGUCGGCUCAUCACAUCCUGGGGCUGAAGUAGGUCCCAAGGGUAUGGCUGUUCGCCAUUUAAAGUGGUACGCGAGCUGGGUUUAGAACGUCGUGAGACAGUUCGGUCCCUAUCUGCCGUGGGCGCUGGAGAACUGGGGGGGGCUGCUCCUAGUACGAGAGGACCGGAGUGGACGCAUCACUGGUGUUCGGGUUGUCAUGCCAAUGGCACUGCCCGGUAGCUAAAUGCGGAAGAGAUAAGUGCUGAAAGCAUCUAAGCACGAAACUUGCCCCGAGAUGAGUUCUCCCUGACUCCUUGAGAGUCCUGAAGGAACGUUGAAGACGACGACGUUGAUAGGCCGGGUGUGUAAGCGUAGCGAUGCGUUGAGCUAACCGGUACUAAUGAACCGUGAGGCUUAACCU
Molecule: ribosomal RNA, 1524 nt
Filed under: metagenome
Description: bacterial LSU rRNA
Rfam family: Bacterial large subunit ribosomal RNA
Source: RNAcentral